Olea europaea var. sylvestris is the source of this 925-nucleotide long non-coding RNA. RefSeq lists it as uncharacterized. The record is from RefSeq and is a predicted model, not a curated record. NCBI's taxonomy places the organism in Eukaryota, Viridiplantae, Streptophyta, Magnoliopsida, Lamiales, Oleaceae. The transcript is spliced from 2 exons.
UCACAGUAUUAACCAUCCCUAACCAACUGGACAAGACACCAAUCUUUUGAACUUUCAACCUCAACUUUUUAUUUUCACAAUAGUUAUGUUUUAUUUUGUAUGUAAAUUUCCCUCUUUUCGUGUUUCAUUCAAGAUCAUAACUACGGCAUAAAUCAUAAAGUACCAAAAAUAGAACUCAUAUAUUUAUGUAAAGAUGCUCCAUUUCAUGGGGCUGUGAUGCCUAAAGCUGGUCUGGUCCCUUUACUCAGGUCCUUUUUUUACCAAUUUUUAUUGCCUUUAAGUUCCUUCCAUAACAAAUUUGAAUGCUGAAUCUUUCUCCAUCUCAUCAUGUACUAUCCUCCCAAGUGUAGUACCAAAAAUCUCCUGUUUUCGUCGUACUUGCCUGAUAUAACCAUCCAUCCCCCACCGGCUUAUAAAAUCGGCAUACGAAGUGCACAAGGCUCUCUACCACUGAAGGAUCUGGGAAGGUUAAGGUGCAUAUAACUUUACCAUGAUAAGCAGGGAGGUUAUUUUCAAAAUUCAAACUUUCAAGAAGAGCAGUUAAGCAGCAAAAAAGCAGAUCGCAUGCCGUGUUUGCUCAAAAGCAAAUUGGCAGUCACCUCACUGAACACUGGUGCAACAAAUCUAGUCAUGACCCUAACCAUGAUGGUGGUCGAAAGUAAUGCAGUUGGGUUUAAGAAAUUAAAACUGAAUUGGGAACGACUGAUAUCUCAUAUGCAAUUAUUCUCAAUUUUCUAUAAGCUAAUGAAGAAAAGCGGAUGUUGAAUGGGCCAUUGCCCAAAGAUUAUGUAGCAUCAUGUCAAAAAUCACUUCCCACAAGAAGCAAGAUGUGGCUUGGAAAGCAACUGAUCCUUGUAUGGUCAUUCUCAUCUAGUGUAAUCAUAGUUUCUUGUGACUUGUAAGCACAAUACGAAUAAUCAAGAAA